AGAGAGAGAGACAUCUGGGGAGGGGUAGUGGGUUACAGAUUGUUGUAAUAAACCAUAAAUCCAGUGUGUCUGUUCGGUCCAUGAUUUUCAGUGUGUAGCAGAGUCAUGAAUUUCAGCUCCCAGGCUUGACUUUUGAAAGUGCUGUGCAGGUUUCCUUUGAGGCUGAGGACUGAGAGGUCAGACAUAGAGUGAUCUCUUUGUGAAAAGUGU
Molecule: long non-coding RNA, 210 nt
Organism: Dermochelys coriacea (leatherback sea turtle)
Lineage: Eukaryota; Metazoa; Chordata; Testudines; Dermochelyidae
Exons: 3
Source: RefSeq, a predicted model, not a curated record